UACAGAGGGGGCAAGCGUUGUUCGGAAUUACUGGGCGUAAAGGGCGCGUAGGCGGCCUUCUAAGUCGAACGUGAAAUCCCCGGGCUCAACCCGGGAACUGCGUCCGAUACUGGAGGGCUUGAAUCCGGGAGAGGGAUGUGGAAUUCCAGGUGUAGCGGUGAAAUGCGUAGAUAUCUGGAGGAACACCGGUGGCGAAGGCGACAUCCUGGACCGGUAUUGACGCUGAGGCGCGAAAGCCAGGGGAGCAAACAGG
This 253-nucleotide ribosomal RNA is filed under the name uncultured bacterium. RNAcentral's name for it is "partial 16S ribosomal RNA". It matches the Rfam family "Bacterial small subunit ribosomal RNA", at positions 524 to 776 of the family's 1533-position model. The record is from RNAcentral.